UGGGGGUUCUAUACAAGGUACCGGGGAUGGAGGUGGAGGCAAAUGAGGCGGUGGAGGGGAGGAGUAUACUGGUGGAGGAGGUGAAUUUGGUGGUGGAGGUGAUGAGUAUAUGUAUACAGGUGGUGGAGGUGGUGAAUUUGGUGGUGGAGGAGGCGGAGGUGGUGGUGAAUUGUAGUAGUAAGGUGAAGGGGGUGGAGGUGAGUGAGCAAGCGGUGGUGGCGGAGGAGGUGGUGAAUUUGGUGGUGGAGGUGGUGGUGAGCGUACACAAUAAGGUAAUGGUGAUGGAGGAGGAGGUGAUGGUGGUGGUGGUGGUGGUGGUGGCGAGUAAACAGGUGGUGGAGGAGGUGGUGGUGAUGGUGGAGUAGGAGAGGGUGGUGGUGGCGAAUAAACAGGUGGGGGGGGUGGAGGAGGUGGAGGUGGCGGAGAGGGAGGUGGCGGAGAGGGAGGUGAAUAAACGGGAGGUGGAGGUGACGGAGGAGGCGGAGGAGGUGAAUAAACGGGAGGUGGAGGCGGAGGAGGCGAUGGAGGAGGUGGUGGUGGUGGUGAAGGUGAAGGAGGAUUAUAAACUGGUGGUGGCGGAGGCGAAUAGACGGGCGAUGGAGGGGGAGAAAUGGGCACGACGACAACAGGAGGCGGAGGCGGAGGCGGAGGCGGAGGCGGAG
Molecule: long non-coding RNA, 662 nt
Filed under: Capsicum annuum
Lineage: Eukaryota; Viridiplantae; Streptophyta; Magnoliopsida; Solanales; Solanaceae
Description: long non-coding RNA (CANN_LNC020473)
Source: RNAcentral